This 441-nucleotide ribosomal RNA is filed under the name uncultured bacterium. RNAcentral describes it as "partial 16S ribosomal RNA". It matches the Rfam family "Bacterial small subunit ribosomal RNA", at positions 338 to 795 of the family's 1533-position model. The record is from RNAcentral.
CCUACGGGAGGCAGCAGUGGGGAAUAUUGCACAAUGGGGGAAACCCUGAUGCAGCGACGCCGCGUGAGCGAGGAAGCACUUCGGUAUGUAAAGCCCUAUCAGCAGGGACGAAAAUAGACGUUACUUGACUAAGAACCCCCGGCUAACUCCGUGCAAGCAGCCGCGGUAAUACGUAGGGGGCAAGCGUUAUCCGGUUUUUCUGGGGGGAAAGGGAGCGGAGACGGCAAGGCAAGCCAGAAGGGAAAGGGCAGGGCUCAACCCUGGACAGGCUUUUGGAAUUGUGGUGCUAGAGUGCAGGAGGGGUAAGUGGAAUUCCUAGUGUAGCGGUGAAAUGCGUAGAUAUUAGGAGGAACACCGGUGGCGAAGGCGGCUUACUGGACUGUAACUGACGUGGAGGCUCGAAAGCGUGGGGAGCAAACAGGAUUAGAUACCCGAGUAGUC